CAAAAUUGGUCGCACACACAAUCUUCAAUUGCACACCAAAUGACGCGUCAAUAUCACGUUUGAUAGACUGCUCUUUUUCCCGACGUAACGGUUCGUCCCGCUCCUUCCAUUUCCCUCCCUCAAUUCAUCAAAUUCAAGCGUUACUUUGUGCCUUAACCUUUUCUCUUGCUCUAGAGCUUUACUUCAAACAUCAAAACUCAAUUCCAUAUACACACUGUACAUACCAUUUCAAAACUCACUCCAUCACCCAACACCCAUCAUUCCCACCUCCGGUGGCCGCAUUUCCUAGUACUUUCCCCGUCGCGAUGUAUAACAAUCAGAACGAUCGCAUCGCCAGCGUUGAAACAACUUGCGGAUUCUUGCUAGUGGAAUUGCAGAACAUGUGGGACGAAGUGGGAGAGAAUGACGUUCGAAGGGAUAAAGUGUUGUUCGAAAUUGAAGAAGAGUGCCUGGAGGUGUAUAGGAGAAAAGUUAAUGAGGCUGACAAAUGUAGAUCUGAAUUGCAACGUGAAAUUGCUUUCGUUGAAGCGGAAAUUGAGGGUAUCUGCUCUGCAUUGGGUGAGCAACCAGUAAAAUAUAAGCAGAAGGCGAGUGCAAAGUUAAAAGAAGAGCUUCACAUCAUUUUUCCAGUGUUGGAGGAAUUGCGGAAGAGAAAAGCACAGAGGAAAAAGCAAUUCCUUGAAGUUCUAGAUGAACUAAAGAACAUUUCAAAAGAGAUUUUCGGUUCUACUACAGAAGAUAAUCUGUACGAGAAGGUUUUGGACGAGGACGACUUGUCCCUCAGAAGACUAGAAGAGUUGCAGAAUCACUUACGCGAGCUUCAGAAUGAGAUGAGCAAUCGUUUGAAGCAAGUACUGUGUCUUUUGGACACUCUGAGCUCCCUCUGUGGGGUUCUUGGUGUGGAUUUCAAACACACAAUACAUGAGAUCCAUCCAACUUUGGAUGAUUCUGAAGGAUUGAAAGACAUGACCAACGAUACAAUUGAGAGGUUGACUUCUGCAAUGCGAGGUUUCCGAGAUUUGAAGAUACAGAGAAUGCAGAGGCUUCAAGGUCUUGGAACUGCCCUUCUGGAGCUUUGGGAUUUGAUGGACACUCCAAUUGAGGAGCAACAAAUGUUUCAGAACGUUACCAGUUUUAUUGCUGCUUCAGAACCCCAAGCUGCGGAGCCUAAUAUGCUUUCCACGGACUUCAUUAACCAUGUUGAGGACGAAGUCUCAAGGCUCAAGCAGCUCAAAUCAAGUAAAGUUAAAGAGAUUAUUCUAAAGAAGAGGCUGGAACUAGAAGAGUUAUGCAGGAACGCACACAUGGUAACAGAAUCACUUACUGCAGCAGAAUAUUCGAUUGAGGCUGUAACAUCUGGUAAGAGUUUGAGGAAAUGUACAAUCUAGAACUACAAGUAUCCUGAGAAUAUUAUCCAUGGCGACCUCUGAAUUUUUUGAAAAACCAGUGUCGAUCAAUGAUGUUCCUGAAGGCCUAAAAGUGCUUUGAUGCCAAAAAAAAAAAUGAUACAUUUGAUAUCAUUUGGUACAUUUGGUGCAUGCAAAUUCUGGUUCCUGAUGCGUAAUGUUUUACUUUUGACACAAUUUCAGUUAAAUUGACAAGUCUGGGAAAAAAAAAAAUUAUGUAUCAUUGGUAACCAUACAAAUGCCCGAUUGUUAUGUACUAUGUUUUUACAGGAGUGGAUCCUGUGCAUCUACUAGAAGAGAUUGAAUUUGAAAUUGUAAAGGUUAAAGAAGAAGCUUAUAGGAGGAAGGAAAUACUCAACAAGGUGGAGAAAUGGUUUGCUGCAUGUGAAGAAGA
RNAcentral lists this unclassified non-coding RNA (1800 nucleotides) under Hevea brasiliensis (rubber tree). The record is from RNAcentral. Lineage: Eukaryota; Viridiplantae; Streptophyta; Magnoliopsida; Malpighiales; Euphorbiaceae.